AAUUCGACUAUGUUGUUUAAAGUUCUAGAUAGUAAACUGAUUAUGACAAAACGCUAUCUAUGUGUCUUGGCUAAAUCUCGUGCCAGCAGCCGCGGUAAUACGAGUAAGACUAGUGUUAUUCAUCUUUAUUAGGUUUAAAGGGUACCUAGACGGUAUAUAGACCUAGAAUAUAAAAUAGGUACAUUUAUACUAGAGUUAUAAAGAAGAGGUAGAUUUAGAGCUAUUAGUGUAAUUAAGAGAUGAAAUGUUUUUAAACUAAUAGAACUGAUAAGUGAAAACAACCCUUUAUUAU
Molecule: ribosomal RNA, 292 nt
Filed under: Elsinoe centrolobii
Lineage: Eukaryota; Fungi; Ascomycota; Dothideomycetes; Myriangiales; Elsinoaceae
Description: partial 12S small subunit ribosomal RNA
Source: RNAcentral